Molecule: ribosomal RNA, 489 nt
Filed under: uncultured bacterium
Lineage: Bacteria
Description: partial 16S ribosomal RNA
Rfam family: Bacterial small subunit ribosomal RNA
Source: RNAcentral
AUUGAACGCUGGCGGCAGGCCUAACACAUGCAAGUCGAACGGUGACAGGAAGCAGCUUGCUGCUUCGCUGACGAGUGGCGGACGGGUGAGUAAUGUCUGGGAAACUGCCUGAUGGAGGGGGAUAACUACUGGAAACGGUAGCUAAUACCGCAUAACGUCGCAAGACCAAAGAGGGGGACCUUAGGGCCUCUUGCCAUCGGAUGUGCCCAGAUGGGAUUAGCUAGUAGGUGGGGUAACGGCUCACCUAGGCGACGAUCCCUAGCUGGUCUGAGAGGAUGACCAGCCACACUGGAACUGAGACACGGUCCAGACUCCUACGGGAGGCAGCAGUGGGGAAUAUUGCACAAUGGGCGCAAGCCUGAUGCAGCCAUGCCGCGUGUAUGAAGAAGGCCUUCGGGUUGUAAAGUACUUUCAGCGGGGAGGAAGGGAGUAAAGUUAAUACCUUUGCUCAUUGACGUUACCCGCAGAAGAAGCACCGGCUAACUCCGU